CCCUUUCUUCCCUCAAACCCCGGGCAACCACCGAUCUUUUUACUGUCUGCAUAGUUUUGCCUUUUCCAGAAUGUCAUAUAGUUGGAAUUGUACCGAUGGUUGACAGGCUAUUUGGAACAAUCUUCCUACUGAAAGAAACUAAAAAAUAUGAGUAAGACGUGUCUUGAUGAAAGCAUUAAAGAAAUAUUAAGACACCAAGAAACCACCACAUCAAAAAUGAAGGGAACAUUCGUUCAGAGAACCCUCAGGUUGAGGCCCUUCCUGGCAAAGCUGCCCUAGGCCCAGAUGUCACAUAUGCAUGACAACGUCCGGGGACCAUUUGCCCCAGCAGAUUCCCUUUCAUUUCUGAUUGGCCGGCAAGUGGCUGAGGAUCGUCUUACUCGCACCCUGGUGCUGGGCGCUGACCACCUCCCGAAGCACUUGGCCAGGGGGAGAGGAUGCUGGACACAAUCAGGUUCUCCUGGGGGGAGGAGGGAGGGAAUGGCUGCUGGAAGGGUUCUACCGGGGACUCCUACAGCAGCUUGUUAGAUCUCCUUCCUCCCAAUUCCCUGAAGUUGGUGGAACAGGAAGAGGACGAGAAGUCAUGUUUGUAUGUUGUCCCCUUGGAAUCUCUCAAAAAUCCGCAAUAUCCCGAUUUGAGAAAUGAGCAUCACAGAGAAAGCAAAGCGGUAGUUGGAAGCUGCCAAGCUUGUGAGCAACGAGACGGAAUCCACGCCCAGGGCUUUCUAACGGCGGGGCCACGCCCUCCACACUCCACCUCGGCCCUCUGCCCUGCGAUGGUGCAGAGACAGGGUGUGGUCAAGGGGCCUAGGGUGAGGGUCCUGCCAGUACUUUACAGGAAACUCCCCCUCUUUUAGCCUCAUUUGUCAAAGAAAGGGCUUAGACACUAAAAUCUUUUAAGUUUCCUUCUA
Long non-coding RNA from Homo sapiens (human), 911 nucleotides. The record is from Ensembl. Lineage: Eukaryota; Metazoa; Chordata; Mammalia; Primates; Hominidae.